AUGUUUGAGAUAAAUUCCAACACGAAUAUCUUUCUAGCAGUUUUGGUUGAAAACAGUUGCACACUAGGGAGUUUCAUAGUUGUCAAGUAUACUCUGCUCCUACCACAUUCCAUUGGUGUUCAGGGAGGAAUUAUGUUACAUACUCAGAACCUGCAUGGUCACCCAGCUUGCUCAGACUACUCGGAAUAUGUAUGCACAUCAUGUUAUCUUGACCCGAGGGACGGAGAAAACAACCCAAUUUUUCCAUCGGAUAUGGCAGUGAUCUCUGCGCAGCUGAAGCGUGACAACUUUAAUAUCGCUUGGAGUAGUUGGCAUCACAUCUUUCGGGUCGACUGGCCAAACCCAUUUCUGCAGCAACAGGUUGUUAAGCUCGUAGGAGUACCCGAGAGACAAUCUCCAUGGGACCCGGGUGGUGUCCGCUUCGUCGACAUUAUUGAACUUCUCAUUGAGCUGCUAGUACCAUGGGAUCCGGGUGGUUCACAUCACCGGCUUGAGGACAAGCCGCAUUUUAAGGGGGCGAGAAUGUCAUGCCCCAGAGGUCAUGCUCUCUUUGUGGGACUGCCCUGGAAAAUGGGUCGUGGAACUUGGGCUGGGCCUAGUGGCAAGGAUCUGGAGCAAUGCUAUAUAAAGAGGCGCGCGUCACAGGAGACAGGGCAAAUGAUUGAAACGUCUAAAGCCUCUCAUCCUUUUGCUCCUGUUCCUCACCUCCCUGCUAUCUGUAUCUCCCUCUUGUUGCUGAUUCUCACCUCAAAUCUCUUCUCUUGUAUCCGAAAUCGGUACUGA
RNAcentral lists this ribosomal RNA (783 nucleotides) under Triticum aestivum (bread wheat). Its description in RNAcentral is "partial small subunit ribosomal RNA". Lineage: Eukaryota; Viridiplantae; Streptophyta; Magnoliopsida; Poales; Poaceae. The record is from RNAcentral.